RNAcentral lists this long non-coding RNA (1600 nucleotides) under Suricata suricatta (meerkat). RNAcentral describes it as "lncRNA (ENSSSUG00005013814.1)". Lineage: Eukaryota; Metazoa; Chordata; Mammalia; Carnivora; Herpestidae. The record is from RNAcentral.
CAGAGGCAGCGGCGGCGGCGGCGGAGACGGAGAGAGGCAGGCAGGCAGGGCGAGGGCGAGAGACGGAGGGAGGGAGCGAGCGAGGCAGACCAGACAGACAGACAGGCGGGCGGGCGGGCGGGCGGGCAGAGCGAGCCACCCGCCAGGCUGCGCUCAGCCCCGCUCGCAGCGGAGAGAGCAGAAGGCAGGAGGAGGGAGGGGAGGAGGAGGAGGGAGGGAGAGAGGGAAUCCAGCUACCACCACCCAAAGCCAGCGUCUGCUUUCUGUCCUCAUUUCCUUUUCCCACCCAGCUCGGAAAGCGGAGAAAGGCAGAGAGAGCGAGAGAUAGAGACAGUCAGAGAGACAGACAGACAGCCAGAGAGCGGGAGGGAGGAGGGCGGAGGAGGAGGAGGAGCAGGAGGAGGACUACGCGGGGCGCGUUCCCUCCCAGGUUUGCAAUGGGGGGGUGGGGGUGGGGGUGUCCAGGGCUGUGAGAGUGUCUGCGCGGCGGGGGGAGCGAGGGGGGCACUGAGAGCGAAGGAGUGAUCGAGGUGGGGGGGGGCGCCGCGGGCGCGGGGGGCCGUGUCCAGCGGAGUUAGCGGCAGAGAAUGUGAGCCGAGACGCGAGCCAUGCUGUCAGCAACGGCGGGCGGCUCAGGGCUCCUCCACGACUCCUCUCCCCAGCAGCCGGGCUCCCGCGUCGCUGCCGCCGCCGGAAGACAGACGCCCCCCAAAGCCCCUCGCCUGGCUCGGACCCACGGAGCCGGCAGCCCAGCACUCCGAUGGGAGCGUGCCUACCUGUCUACCCAUUGGCCUGGACCCCAGAGCCUGCCCAGCUAAGUGCGUGCAGAGGGCCCCGACUUCGGGGCAACCCUCAGGCUGCCGCAGGGACUACCCUGGAAUCCCUGGCGAAGACAGGCCUUUCCUGCUGAGUUGGACCUUGUCUACACAGCUUGCUCAGCUUUCAGAAAACCAACGCCAAGACCCCUCCCAGCGUCCACAUUGUCCUCUGGCAGGAGUGCCUGCCCCUCUGCCUCCCGCCCAACCCCCCAGUACCCCUUGCACUCCCACAUCCCCCCACCCUGCCCUGCCCAUCUCCUCCACGCAGAAGCCGAAGGUGAGCCCUUUCUGCACAAAACCAGCAAUUGUAAAUACUUUUUAAAAAUGUACAAAACUUAAAAAAACAAAACACAGUUUUAGAAAAAGACAAAAAAAAAGAGAGAGAGAGAGAGCGCGAGCGUGUGCAAGAGGUUGCGAGCGGGGCCCCGAGGUGUCCAGAGCCCCUGCAAGUAUGCACUGAGAAAUUUAUCUACAGGUCGUUUGACAAAAAUGAACAAUAUCCUAUUUAUUGUAUAUACUGUUUUAUUAUAAAUCGUGGAUUGUAUAUUGCAUUCUGUAAACCUGCUGUGGCCCCGUGGUGUGCAAAUUCGCAUGGUAGGGGGGAGGGAGAAGAACCUCUUGCGGGAGCUUUUUUUUUUUCUUUCUUUCUUAUUUUUCACUCUUUUGGGUUUUCUCUUCUGUUGUUGUUGUUGUUUUCUGUUUUGGCAGGACACACCCAAAGAUCCAAGUUUGUAUUAAAAAGAAAUGAAAAAAAGCAAAAAAAAAAAAACCCACCUUGUGUC